UUUUUCGCCAAUCUCCUGACAUAGAAUUUCAACACUAUAGAAUUUUGUGAAAAUGUUAGAAUCCCGUUACACAUCCGCAUCAUCAACUAUAUAUAUCGUACAUAUCUGCAAUUUACAUUCUUACGGAACAAAAUGAAAAAAUCUAAAUGAUUUGCAUAUUAUGUUUUUAUUAUGGAGCAAAUAAUCUCAAAUAUACUUUUUAUCAGCAGCAGACCUAUUACAAAUAUAAAAUUAGCAACCCAACUAACCUGGUUUUUGUUUUCCGCCAUCUCCUUCAAGUGUACCUUCAUUAGUUUUAAUUUCAUCUCCAAUCAAUGCAACUAGAUUUCGUAAUUGCAAUUUUUUUAGGCACAUCAUAUGGAACAUGAUGCUUUAUCUUCAACAGUAAACAAGAACACAAACUUACCGCCCUUGUUUAUUUCUCCAGUAAGUGAACUAGCUUGUUGUACCAUCAAUGUCUGCUUUGUUGAAUUGACUGCAGCUGUACGUGUGCAUGUACCUUGCCUAGAGCCACAUGCCCCACUUAACCCAGCACCAAACAAAC
RNAcentral lists this long non-coding RNA (544 nucleotides) under Triticum aestivum (bread wheat). Its description in RNAcentral is "long non-coding RNA (TAES_LNC019891)". Lineage: Eukaryota; Viridiplantae; Streptophyta; Magnoliopsida; Poales; Poaceae. The record is from RNAcentral.